ACGGAAUAGAUACCCGGGUAGUCCCAGCUGUAAACGAUGCAGACUAGGUGUUUGGACGGCCACGUGCCGUUCUAGUGCCGCAGGGAAGCUGUUAAGUCUGCCGCCUGGGGAGUACGAUCGCAAGAUUGAAACUUAAAGGAAUUGGCGGGGGAGCACCACAAGGGGUGAAGCUUGCGGUUUAAUUGGAGUCAACGCCGGAAAUCUCACCGGGAGCGACAGCAGUGUGAUAGCCAGAUUAAAGGUCUUGCUAGACGAGCUGAGAGGAGGUGCAUGGCCGUCGCCAGUUCGUGCCGUGAGGUGUCCUGUUAAGUCAGGCAACGAUCGAGACCCGCGUCCUCUGUUGCUACCAGUCUUGUGCUGGGCACACUGAGGAGACCGCCGCUGAUAAAGCGGAGGAAGGAGCGGGCCACGGCAGGUCAGUAUGCCCCGAAUCUCCCGGGCCACACGCGAGCUGCAAUGGCAGGUACAAUGGUUCCGACCUCGAAAGGGGAGCAAUCUCGAAAACCUGCCGUAGCUGGGAUCGA
Molecule: ribosomal RNA, 524 nt
Filed under: uncultured bacterium
Lineage: Bacteria
Description: bacterial SSU rRNA
Rfam family: Archaeal small subunit ribosomal RNA
Source: RNAcentral